This 566-nucleotide long non-coding RNA is filed under the name Mytilus galloprovincialis (Mediterranean mussel). The record is from RNAcentral. Lineage: Eukaryota; Metazoa; Mollusca; Bivalvia; Mytilida; Mytilidae.
UUUUUAUACGUCCGUCUUUUAGACGGGACGUAUUAUGGUAUACCGUUGUCCAUCCGUCCGUCCGUCUGUCCGUCCGUCGUCCACACUUCGGACAAUAACUCAAAAACACUUUCACCAAUUUCCAUGAAACUUAAGUGAAUUGUUUAUAUCUAUUGACGUAAGCUCCCUUUCGUUUUUUUUAAUUUCAGAUUUUAAGUUUUGGAUUUAUGGGGCUUUAUUCAUAAAAAAGGGGGGAUUUUCAACACUUCGGACAAUAACUCAAAAAGGCUUUCACCAAUGUCCAUGAAACUUUGGUGAAUUGUUUAUAUCUAUUGAUGUAAGCUCCCUUUUAAUUUUUAUAAAUUUCAGAUGUUAGGUUUUGGAUUAAUGGGGCUUUAUUCAUAAAAAAGGGGGAUUUUUAACACUUCGGACAAUAACUCAAAAAGGCUUUCACCAAUGUCAAUGAAACUUUGGUGAAUUGUUUAUAUUUAUUGAUGUAAGCUCCCUUUCAAUUUUUAUAAAUUUCAGAUUUUAAGUUUUGGAUUUAUGGGGCUUUAUUCAUAAAAAAAGAGGGAUUUUUAACACUU